CCUACGGGAGGCAGCAGUGGGGGAUAUUGCACAAUGGGGGGAACCCUGAUGCAGCGACGCCGCGUGGGUGAAGAAGCGCCUCGGCGCGUAAAGCCCUGUCAGCAGGGAAGAAAAUGACGGUACCUGAAGAAGAAGCCCCGGCUAACUACGUGCCAGCAGCCGCGGUAAUACGUAGGGGGCAAGCGUUAUCCGGAUUUACUGGGUGUAAAGGGGGCGCAGACGGCGAUGCAAGCCAGGAGUCAAAGCGCGGGGCCCAACCCCGGGGCUGCUGUUGGAAAUGCGAGGCUGGAGUGGAAGAGGGGCAGGCGGAAUGCGCGGGGUAGCGGUGAAAGGCGUAGAUAUCGGGCAGAACGCCGGUGGCGAAGGCAGCAGGCUGGA
This 378-nucleotide ribosomal RNA is filed under the name uncultured bacterium. RNAcentral describes it as "partial 16S ribosomal RNA". It matches the Rfam family "Bacterial small subunit ribosomal RNA", at positions 338 to 733 of the family's 1533-position model. The record is from RNAcentral.